UACAGAGGUGGCAAGCGUUGUUCGGAAUUACUGGGCGUAAAGGGCGCGUAGGUGGCCUUCUUAGUCAGACGUGAAAUCCCCAGGCUUAACCUGGGAACUGCGUCUGAUACUGGAAGGCUCGAGUUCGGGAGAGGAAUGUGGAAUUCCAGGUGUAGCGGUGAAAUGCGUAGAUAUCUGGAGGAACACCGGUGGCGAAGGCGACAUCCUGGACCAGCACUGACACUGAGGCACGAAAGCGUGGGGAGCAAACAGG
This 253-nucleotide ribosomal RNA is filed under the name uncultured bacterium. Its description in RNAcentral is "partial 16S ribosomal RNA". It matches the Rfam family "Bacterial small subunit ribosomal RNA", at positions 524 to 776 of the family's 1533-position model. The record is from RNAcentral.